RNAcentral lists this ribosomal RNA (449 nucleotides) under uncultured bacterium. Its description in RNAcentral is "partial 16S ribosomal RNA". It matches the Rfam family "Bacterial small subunit ribosomal RNA", at positions 29 to 523 of the family's 1533-position model. The record is from RNAcentral.
AACGAACGCUGGCGGCAGGCUUAACACAUGCAAGUCGAACGAGAUCUUCGGAUCUAGUGGCAGACGGGUGAGGAACACGUGGGAACAUCCCUUUCAGUUCGGACUCACGUUGGGAAACUCACGCUAAUACCGGAUACGUCCUUCGGGAGAAAGAUUUAUCGCUGAAAGAUUGGCCCGCGUCUGAUUAGCUAGUUGGUGAGGUAAUGGCUCACCAAGGCUACGAUCAGUAGCUGAUCUGAGAGGAUGAUCAGCCACAUUGGGACUGAGACACGGCCCAAACUCCUACGGGAGGCAGCAGUGGGGAAUAUUGGACAAUGGGCGCAAGCCUGAUCCAGCCAUGCCGCGUGAGUGAUGACGGCCUUCGGGUUGUAAAGCUCUAUUGUCCGGGAAGAUAGUGACUGUACCGGAAGAAUAAGCCCCGGCAAACUUCGUGCCAGCAGCCGCAGUAA